GUGCUUUGUGAUGCGCUCUCAAAGAGUCGAGUUGUUUGGGAAUGCAGCUCUAAAUGGGUGGUAAAUUCCAUCUAAAGCUAAAUAUUGGCGAGAGACCGAUAGCGAACAAGUACCGUGAGGGAAAGAUGAAAAGCACUUUGGAAAGAGAGUUAAACAGUACGUGAAAUUGCUGAAAGGGAAACGCUUGAAGUCAGUCGCGUUGGCCGGGACUCAGCCUUGCUUUUUGCUUGGUGCAUUUUCCGGUCGACGGGCCAGCAUCGAUUUUGACCGCCGGAAAAGGGCUAGGGAAAUGUGGCACCUUCGGGUGUGUUAUAGUCUCUAGUCGCAUGCGGCGGUUGGGAUCGAGGAACGCAGCGCGCCGCAAGGCAGGGGUUCGCCCACUUUCGCGCUUAGGAUGCUGGCAUAAUGGCUUUAAACGACCCGUC
This 425-nucleotide ribosomal RNA is filed under the name Fomes fomentarius. RNAcentral describes it as "eukaryotic LSU rRNA". It matches the Rfam family "Eukaryotic large subunit ribosomal RNA", at positions 239 to 653 of the family's 3401-position model. Lineage: Eukaryota; Fungi; Basidiomycota; Agaricomycetes; Polyporales; Polyporaceae. The record is from RNAcentral.